This 156-nucleotide small nuclear RNA is filed under the name Neogale vison (American mink). Its description in RNAcentral is "Neovison vison (American mink) U4 spliceosomal RNA (ENSNVIG00000016273.1)". It matches the Rfam family "U4 spliceosomal RNA". From Rfam's summary of the family: U4 small nuclear RNA (U4 snRNA) is a component of the major U2-dependent spliceosome. The structure of U4 snRNA from yeast and human has been reported. U4 snRNA presents a k-turn RNA motif in the 5p-SL related to recognition of Snu13 protein. Lineage: Eukaryota; Metazoa; Chordata; Mammalia; Carnivora; Mustelidae. The record is from Rfam by way of RNAcentral.
AGCUUUGCGCAGUGGCAGUAUCGUAGCCAAUGAGGUUUAUCCGAGGCGCGAUUAUUGCUAAUUGAAACACAUCAUCCUGAAACUUACUGUCUUGGGGUUCCUGGGUGACUCAGUAGGUUAAGCGUCAGACUCUUGAUUUCUGCUCAGGUCAUGAUC